CCUACGGGGGGCUGCAGUAGGGAAUAUUAGUAAUGGGCGAAAGCCUGAACUAGCGACACCGCGUGUGCGAAGAAGGCCUUCGGGUUGUAAAGCACUUUUAGAGAGGAUGAGGAAGGACGGUACUCUCUGAAUAAGUCUCGGCUAACUACGUGCCAGCAGCCGCGGUAACACGUAGGAGGCAAACGUUAUCCGGAUUUACUGGGCGUAAAGCGCGUGUAGGUGGUUCUGUAAGUAGGGCGUGAAAGCUCCUGGCUCAACUGGGAGAGGCCGUUCUAAACUGCAGAGCUAGAGGAUGGUAGAGGAAGGUGGAAUUCCGGGUGUAGCGGUGGAAUGCGCAGAUAUCCGGAGGAACACCAGUGGCGAAGGCGGCCUUCUGGACCAUUCCUGACACUCAGACGCGAAAGCUAGGGUAGCAAACGGGCUUAGAUACCCCAGUAGUC
This 440-nucleotide ribosomal RNA is filed under the name uncultured Anaerolineaceae bacterium. Its description in RNAcentral is "bacterial SSU rRNA". It matches the Rfam family "Bacterial small subunit ribosomal RNA", at positions 338 to 795 of the family's 1533-position model. Lineage: Bacteria; Bacillati; Chloroflexota; Anaerolineae; Anaerolineales; Anaerolineaceae. The record is from RNAcentral.